RNAcentral lists this ribosomal RNA (254 nucleotides) under uncultured bacterium. Its description in RNAcentral is "partial 16S ribosomal RNA". It matches the Rfam family "Bacterial small subunit ribosomal RNA", at positions 524 to 776 of the family's 1533-position model. The record is from RNAcentral.
UACGAAGGACCCGAGCGUUAUCCGGAUUUAUUGGGUUUAAAGGGUGCGUAGGCGGAUUAGUAAGUCAGUGGUGAAAGCCCAUCGCUUAACGGUGGAAUUGCCAUUGAUACUGCUAGUCUUGAGUAUGGUUGAGGUGGGCGGAAUGUGUCAUGUAGCGGUGAAAUGCUUAGAUAUGACCCAGAACACCAAUUGCGAAGGCAGCUCGCUAAGCCAUAACUGACGCUGAGGCUACGAAAGCGUGGGGAUCAAACAGG